This 268-nucleotide long non-coding RNA is filed under the name Mytilus galloprovincialis (Mediterranean mussel). The record is from RNAcentral. Lineage: Eukaryota; Metazoa; Mollusca; Bivalvia; Mytilida; Mytilidae.
GAGCUACCGUUUGAUUUUUAUGAGUGGGCUAGAAUGAAAUUUGAAAAAAAUAGGCAGGAUAGGAGUUUUGAGUAAAAAAAAGGCAGGAUGGGACACUUGCAAAAAAGUCAGGACGACAAUUUAGGUAAAUAAAAAGUCAGGAUAAACUAAAAAAAAAAAAAAAAAAGGCAGGACCGAACAGAGUGAAAAAUAAAAAGGCAGGACAAAGAUUACAGCUAAAAAAAUUUAGAAUUUAAGGUAAGUAGUAAGUAAGUAUAUUUUAUUAAGA